GGAUCCAGACUUUGAUUAUGGCUCAGAUUGAACGCUGGCGGCGUGCCUAACACAUGCAAGUCGAACGCGAAAGUUUCUUCGGAAAUGAGUAGAGUGGCGCACGGGUGAGUAACGCGUGGAUUAUCUACCUACUGGUACGGGACAACAGUUGGAAACGACUGCUAAUACCGUAUACGCUGGUAACGGGAAAGGGGGCCUCUUCUUGAAAGCUCUCGCCAGUAGAUGAGUCCGCGUUUCAUUAGCUAGACGGUGGGGUAACGGCCUACCGUGGCAACGAUGAAUAGCAGGCCUGAGAGGGUGGCCUGCCACACUGGGACUGGAACACGGCCCAGACUCCUACGGGAGGCAGCAGUGGGGAAUAUUGCGCAAUGGACGAAAGUCUGACGCAGCGACGCCGCGUGGAGGAUGAAGGUUUUCGGAUCGUAAACUCCUGUCAGAGGGAAGAAACCUAUUAUGAAUAAUACUCAUGGUAAUUGACGGUACCUCUAGAGGAAGCACCGGCUAAUUCAGUGCCAGCAGCCGCGG
Molecule: ribosomal RNA, 525 nt
Filed under: uncultured bacterium
Lineage: Bacteria
Description: bacterial SSU rRNA
Rfam family: Bacterial small subunit ribosomal RNA
Source: RNAcentral